Molecule: ribosomal RNA, 467 nt
Filed under: uncultured bacterium
Lineage: Bacteria
Description: bacterial SSU rRNA
Rfam family: Bacterial small subunit ribosomal RNA
Source: RNAcentral
CCGCCAGACUCCUACGGGAGGCAGCAGUGAGGAAUAUUGGUCAAUGGGCGCGAGCCUGAACCAGCCAAGUCGCGUGAGGGAUGAAGGAUCUAUGGUUCGUAAACCUCUUUUAUAAGGGAAUAAAGUGCGGGACGCGUCCCGCUUCGCAUGUACCUUAUGAAUAAGGAUCGGCUAACUCCGUGCCAGCAGCCGCGGUAAUACGGAGGAUCCGAGCGUUAUCCGGAUUUAUUGGGUUUAAAGGGUGCGUAGGCGGCCUUUUAAGUCGGCGGUGAAAGUCUGUGGCUCAACCAUAGAAUUGCCGUUGAAACUGGGGGGCUUGAGUAUGUUUGAGGCAGGCGGAAUGCGUGGUGUAGCGGUGAAAUGCAUAGAUAUCACGCAGAACCCCGAUUGCGAAGGCAUCUGACGAAUCGGAGAUUGACGCUGAUGCACGAAAGCGUGGGUAUCGAACAGGAUUAGAUACCCCCGUA